CCUACGGGAGGCAGCAGUAGGGAAUAUUGCUCAAUGGGGGAAACCCUGAAGCAGCAACGCCGCGUGGAGGAUGAAGGUUUUCGGAUUGUAAACUCCUUUUGUUAGAGAAGAUAAUGACGGUAUCUAACGAAUAAGCACCGGCUAACUCCGUGCCAGCAGCCGCGGGAAUACGGAGGGUGCAAGCGUUACUCGGAAUCACUGGGCGUAAAGAGCGCGUAGGCGGGAUAGCAAGUCAGAUGUGAAAUGCUAUGGCUUAACCAUAGAACUGCAUUUGAAACUGUUAUUCUAGAGUAUGGGAGAGGUAGGUGGAAUUCUUGGUGUAGGGGUAAAAUCCGUAGAGAUCAAGAGGAAUACUCAUUGCGAAGGCGACCUGCUAGAACAUAACUGACGCUGAUGCGCGAAAGCGUGGGGAGCAAACAGGAUUAGAUACCCCAGUAGUC
This 440-nucleotide ribosomal RNA is filed under the name uncultured bacterium. RNAcentral describes it as "partial 16S ribosomal RNA". It matches the Rfam family "Bacterial small subunit ribosomal RNA", at positions 338 to 795 of the family's 1533-position model. The record is from RNAcentral.